GUCCCCGUAGCUCAGCAGGAUAGAGCGUUCCCCUCCUAAGGGAAAGGCCACAGGUUCGAUUCCUGUCGGGGACGCCA
RNAcentral lists this transfer RNA (77 nucleotides) under Gammaproteobacteria bacterium. RNAcentral describes it as "tRNA-Arg". It matches the Rfam family "tRNA". Rfam says of the family: Transfer RNA (tRNA) molecules are approximately 80 nucleotides in length. Their secondary structure includes four short double-helical elements and three loops (D, anti-codon, and T loops). Further hydrogen bonds mediate the characteristic L-shaped molecular structure. tRNAs have two regions of fundamental functional importance: the anti-codon, which is responsible for specific mRNA codon recognition, and the 3' end, to which the tRNAs corresponding amino acid is attached (by aminoacyl-tRNA synthetases). tRNAs cope with the degeneracy of the genetic code in two manners: having more than one tRNA (with a specific anti-codon) for a particular amino acid; and 'wobble' base-pairing, i.e. permitting non-standard base-pairing at the 3rd anti-codon position. The record is from RNAcentral. Lineage: Bacteria; Pseudomonadati; Pseudomonadota; Gammaproteobacteria.